This 61-nucleotide transfer RNA is filed under the name Hydnocarpus borneensis. RNAcentral's name for it is "tRNA-Pro". The record is from RNAcentral. Lineage: Eukaryota; Viridiplantae; Streptophyta; Magnoliopsida; Malpighiales; Achariaceae.
AGCUUGGUAGCGCCCUUGUUUUGGGUACAGUCACGGGUUCCAAUCCUGUCAUCCCUACCUA